GCUGCUGUAGCUCAGGGGUAGAGCGCGUCCUUGGUAAGGACGAGGUCAAGGGUUCAAUUCCCUUCAGCAGCUCCA
RNAcentral lists this transfer RNA (75 nucleotides) under Planctomycetota bacterium. RNAcentral's name for it is "tRNA-Thr". It matches the Rfam family "tRNA". From Rfam's summary of the family: Transfer RNA (tRNA) molecules are approximately 80 nucleotides in length. Their secondary structure includes four short double-helical elements and three loops (D, anti-codon, and T loops). Lineage: Bacteria; Pseudomonadati; Planctomycetota. The record is from RNAcentral.